Molecule: ribosomal RNA, 442 nt
Filed under: uncultured bacterium
Lineage: Bacteria
Description: bacterial SSU rRNA
Rfam family: Bacterial small subunit ribosomal RNA
Source: RNAcentral
GAGCGGUAUUGUUUCUUCGGAAACGAGAGAGCGGCGCACGGGUGCGGAACACGUGUGCAACCUGCCUUUAUCUGGGGGAUAGCCUUUCAAAGGAAGAUUAAUACCCCAUAAUAUUUUGAAUGGCAUCAUUUAAAAUUGAAAACUCCGGUGGAUAGAGAUGGGCACGCGCAAGAUUAGAUAGUUGGUAGGGUAACGGCCUACCAAGUCAGUGAUCUUUAGGGGGCCUGAGAGGGUGAUCCCCCACACUGGUACUGAGACACGGACCAGACUCCUACGGGAGGCAGCAGUGAGGAAUAUUGGACAAUGGGUGAGAGCCUGAUCCAGCCAUCCCGCGUGAAGGACGACAGCCCUAUGGGUUGUAAACUUCUUUUGUACAGGGAUAAACCUUUCCACGUGUGGAAAGCUGAAGGUACUGUACGAAUAAGCACCGGCUAACUCCGUG